CCUACGGGAGGCAGCAGUGGGGAAUUUUGCGCAAUGGGGGAAACCCUGACGCAGCAACGCCGCGUGAGUGAUGAAGGCUUUCGGGUCGUAAAGCUCUGUCGGAGGGGAAGAAAUGGAAACGGUUAAUACCCGUUUUCCUUGACGGUACCCUCAAAGGAAGCACCGGCUAACUCCGUGCCAGCAGCCGCGGUAAUACGGAGGGUGCAAGCGUUGUUCGGAUUUAUUGGGCGUAAAGCGCGUGUAGGCGGUUUCUUGAGUCUGAUGUGAAAGCCCUGGGCUCAACCCAGGAAGUGCAUUGGAUACUGGGAGACUUGAAUACGGGAGAGGGUAGUGGAAUUCCUAGUGUAGGAGUGAAAUCCGUAGAUAUUAGGAGGAACACCGGUGGCGAAGGCGGCUACCUGGACCGAUAUUGACGCUGAGACGCGAAAGCGUGGGGAGCAAACAGGAUUAGAUACCCUGGUAGUCCACGCCGUAAACGAUGAGAACUAGGUGUUGCGGGUAUUGACCCCUGCAGUGCCGCAGCUAACGCAUUAAGUUCUCCGCCUGGGAAGUACGGUCGCAAGACUAAAACUCAAAGGAAUUGACGG
This 587-nucleotide ribosomal RNA is filed under the name uncultured bacterium. RNAcentral's name for it is "bacterial SSU rRNA". It matches the Rfam family "Bacterial small subunit ribosomal RNA", at positions 338 to 916 of the family's 1533-position model. The record is from RNAcentral.